This 497-nucleotide ribosomal RNA is filed under the name uncultured bacterium. RNAcentral describes it as "partial 16S ribosomal RNA". It matches the Rfam family "Bacterial small subunit ribosomal RNA", at positions 28 to 507 of the family's 1533-position model. The record is from RNAcentral.
GAUGAACGCUGGCGGCGUGCCUAAUACAUGCAAGUCGAGCGAACAGACGAGGAGUUUGCUCCUCUGACGUUAGCGGCGGACGGGUGAGUAACACGUGGAUAACCUACCUAUAAGACUGGGAUAACUUCGGGAAACCGGAGCUAAUACCGGAUAAUAUAUUGAACCGCAUGGUUCAAUAGUGAAAGACGGUUUUGCUGUCACUUAUAGAUGGAUCCGCGCCGCAUUAGCUAGUUGGUAAGGUAACGGCUUACCAAGGCAGCGAUGCGUAGCCGACCUGAGAGGGUGAGCGGCCACACUGGAACUGAGACACGGUCCAGACUCCUACGGGAGGCAGCAGUAGGGAAUCUUCCGCAAUGGGCGAAAGCCUGACGGAGCAACGCCGCGUGAGUGAUGAAGGUCUUCGGAUCGUAAAACUCUGUUAUUAGGGAAGAACAAAUGUGUAAGUAACUAUGCACGUCUUGACGGUACCUAAUCAGAAGGCCACGGCUAACUACGUG